This 252-nucleotide ribosomal RNA is filed under the name uncultured bacterium. RNAcentral's name for it is "partial 16S ribosomal RNA". It matches the Rfam family "Bacterial small subunit ribosomal RNA", at positions 524 to 776 of the family's 1533-position model. The record is from RNAcentral.
UACGGAGGAUGCGAGCGUUAUCCGGAUUUAUUGGGUUUAAAGGGUGCGUAGGCGGGCUUUUAAGUCAGCGGUAAAAAUUCGGGGCUCAACCCCGUCCGGCCGUUGAAACUGGGGGCCUUGAGUGGGCGAGAAGAAGGCGGAAUGCGUGGUGUAGCGGUGAAAUGCAUAGAUAUCACACAGAACCCCGAUUGCGAAGGCAGCCUUCCGGCGCCCUACUGACGCUGAGGCACGAAAGUGCGGGGAUCGAACAGG